GACGAACGCUGGCGGCGUGCUUAACACAUGCAAGUCGAACGGAAAGGCCCUGCUUUUGUGGGGUGCUCGAGUGGCGAACGGGUGAGUAACACGUGAGUAACCUGCCCUUGACUUUGGGAUAACUUCAGGAAACUGGGGCUAAUACCGGAUAGGAGCUCCUGCUGCAUGGUGGGGGUUGGAAAGUUUCGGCGGUUGGGGAUGGACUCGCGGCUUAUCAGCUUGUUGGUGGGGUAGUGGCAUACCAAGGCUUUGACGGGUAGCCGGCCUGAGAGGGUGACCGGCCACAUUGGGACUGAGAUACGGCCCAGACUCCUACGGGAGGCAGCGGUGGGGAAUAUUGCACAAUGGGCGGGAGCCUGAUGCAGCAACGCCGCGUGCGGGAUGACGGCCUUCGGGUUGUAAACCGCUUUCGCCUGUGACGAAGCGUGAGUGACGGUAAUGGGUAAAGAAGCACCGGCUAACUACGUG
This 468-nucleotide ribosomal RNA is filed under the name uncultured bacterium. RNAcentral's name for it is "partial 16S ribosomal RNA". It matches the Rfam family "Bacterial small subunit ribosomal RNA", at positions 28 to 507 of the family's 1533-position model. The record is from RNAcentral.